RNAcentral lists this ribosomal RNA (253 nucleotides) under uncultured bacterium. RNAcentral describes it as "partial 16S ribosomal RNA". It matches the Rfam family "Bacterial small subunit ribosomal RNA", at positions 524 to 776 of the family's 1533-position model. The record is from RNAcentral.
UACGUAGGGGGCUAGCGUUGUCCGGAAUUAUUGGGCGUAAAGAGCGUGUAGGCGGCCCGACAAGUCCGCUGUGAAAGCCCAGGGCUCAACCCUGGGAUGCCGGUGGAAACUGUCGGGCUAGAGUCCGGAAGAGGCGAGUGGAAUUCCUGGUGUAGCGGUGAAAUGCGCAGAUAUCAGGAGGAACACCAAUGGCGAAGGCAGCUCGCUGGGACGGUACUGACGCUGAGACGCGAAAGCGUGGGGAGCGAACAGG